GAAAUUAAUCAUUAAAAGACAAGGGCAAUAACAAUACAAACCAAGGGGAGGGAGAAAGACAAUUAUUGCACAAUAGUAUUAAGGUACCCUGUAUGCUCCACUAAAACCUUCUCAAUGAUCCAGUAUUUUGGAAAAAACAGCUCAACAAUACAAUAUGCGCAAUUAGUUUUUUACAACCGCCAUAAUGCUUGUUCAAAAAUUUGGAUUCAAACAAAAACAUGUGACCAUCUUUACUUACUCCAUUAUGCCAGGACCUGAGUUUUCCACAUCAACAUCUCCCAUCCCUGUAUCUUCUUCUUCUUCACUAUCCUCAUCACCACUAACCUCCUCAUUGUCAUUUCGUAGUUUAGCCAUGUGCUCCGCAAGCAAUUUAUCAUCUCGUUCACUCACAGCUCUCGGUGGCUCCUUCACAACGAGCUUCCCCUUAUGCUGCUCUAUUGCCUCGGUGCAAGCAGCAAUUGCCUUGUUAAGAACUGAUAUGCCUUGCUCCUAAUAAACAAUAGCAACAACAACACUUCGUCAGAAACAUUGGCACGGCAAGCCACUUGCAAUAUCCCAUAACUGCAGGAAAGUGGAUAGCUAACAGCUUCAAUACUUCAAAUUUCGUAAGCAAACACAGUACAAGCAUUAAACAGAAUCGAGCAAAGAUAAACAGGAUUAUCAUCAAGGAACAGUGGCUGAGUUGACAUCUGCCUUCAAUGAAGAGAUACAGAAAACAGAUAACAGUUCAUAUCAAUUAGAAGAUAGAAAGACUAGUUAAUAAGAGUUCUUUUAAUUCUUGCUACAGGAUGUCAGGCUAAUUAACCUGGCCAGUGGCCCAGUGCUAACUAGCAUACAUAGCAAUUUACUUUUAAAUAGGAAAAAACUAUUUCAUGACCUAGGCAGAUUUGAAAACAGAAAAUUAACUAUUAAAAAAUGUGAGGCAAAGAAGUUAUUUGACUGUCCUUGACAGCCUAGCUAAUUGCAUCACGCCUUCAGCAGAAUCAAAAUAACAUUAUAUGUGGUGAUAGCGCAAGGGAUGCAAAGUAUACAUAACCAGCACAUCUGCAUAAACAGAGUAUGCUAUAGAAAAAGAACUACAGUUAGUUUGACCGUGUGUCAUAAGAGAUCAUAUUGGAACUGCCAGGCAUUUGCUGGCACUCCACUCUUAAAGCCAAGUAAUGACUGCAGAUAACAAAAAGUUAGGCAAUAAUAUAAUAUUUCUGAUUCCAGCAUGUGCCAGUACAGGAUUUUAUACUUUCACUGGAUCUCCACCUAUGUUACUUAAUUGAAUUAAAUAUUUAACCACGUUAAUGACACUUGCAUAGGCUAAAGAAGACAUAUGCACAAAGCAUGGCCAAUCUAAUAAAAACUCAACAUUUUAUAAGUAAAGAAGGCUUUCUAUUUUUCAACAAGCAACAAUCUAACCUUGUCUAGGGUUUGAGUGGUAAGGACAUAAAGUGGAGGAGCAACCAGUUUAAUUUUCACAGGACAAUCUUUAUUGCCUGCAGCUUCGGCUUUCCUCAUUGCAUCCUUAAUGUGAAGAACCCCAUCAAACUGGAAACAUUUCAUUUCAAUAUCAGCCCGAAUCUUCAGUGGUUGUGGGGUCAUUCUUCUCCUAAUAUUCUUCACCAAAGCUUCUUUGACUUCCUCUGACACAGCAGGCACUACCUUGGUUACCUCCUGUCCAUCAGGGCCAAUUUCUUUAACCUCACGGGUGAGAGAAUUCAAAACUGAAUCAGGAUCAGUUACAAUGAUUUUGAAUGCCUCAAAAGCAUGACCAUAUUUCCGGUACAAAGGCCAUCCAAUAUGGAUGUACAAUUCCUGAGAUAAGUAACUAAGUUGGUUAAACAUAUAAUUGAAAGAAUUCGAAUACUUGAUCAUGAGAGACACAUAUCUCUGGCAUUGAUGAGAUGACAGGAUCUCAGGGAAGAAGUGUGUAUGAUUCCAACAAAAAAAAGGACAACAUUCAACUAAUCAAACAUGCAUAACGCAUGCAAAAGCUAUAUAAUUGUUUAGCAUUUUAAUACCUGUACAGUAAGCUUUAAUUAGACAUAUGGCUAGUACCUUAAGAAAUCCAAAGGAAAUGUUUUAGAUGACAUAUAAGCUCUUGGCUAGAAUACGAACGAACAUAUAUACUUGUUCUUCCUCUGUUUAAUGAAGGAUUUCAAUACAAUGUGUUAAAUGAUAGGGUAAAAUUGUAAUUGACAUGCUCUUCAGAGAUUUUAUUUUAUACUUGGCUUUUUUUACCCAUUAAACUAAAAUACAAAUAGCAAUUACCUUUGUUGCAUGAAAUGUUCCUAAGUUUUUUUUGUAACAAUUAAAAAAUUGCAACAGUUACCCUAGUAUGAUCAUAAUUAUUCAAACUCAUAAUAUGCAAAACUGCAAAAGCCACAUGACAGUACUGAGAAACAAUCACUAAAUUCAUACUGUCUUAAUACAAAAGGAAUGAAGGGAGAGAAAGUUUAAUUUUUUUUUUUAAUGGAAUUAUAAUCUAGCAAUGAAGUUGCUGCCAAUGAGCAUGUUGUGAAUGAAGAUAAAUGGAAAUGAAUUGUAAAAGCACAUGAGCGCGCGCGUGCGCGCGCGUCUAUAUCUAUACGAGAGUUGUUAGAGGCAGUAGCAUUUUUCAUUAGAUUCUCUAGUUGAGCUAGAAGGUGGAGCUUCGCAAAAACAAAUGCAUCAGUUGUAACAUAUCAUCAAAUGAUGAAAAUCCAGAAAUUAUCCCUCUCUUCUCUCCUCUCUCAGUAAAUCCUUCCCUUUCUUCUAAAAAUUCUUCCCUACUUUCCUCUAUGGUCUUGUUAAUCAAUUGGGCCUUAACUUGCAACUGAGCUUAAUGAGUUUAGGUCCCAACAUCGUGGUAUCAAAGCAGGCAGUUCUAGAGGAGACUAUUGCUUCCAUAGCAAUAGCACGAAAAUGCAAGAAUGCUCUAACUAAUGUAUGAAAUCAAUGGAUUAGAGGAUGCAAGAUCUCAUGACAGAUAUCGAAGAGAAUCUCAGAAAGCAUGCUUAAAAAUGGAAGAUAUGAAGCUUGAGAAUCAGCAACAGAGAGAUCAGAAUCAGAAGAGAACUGAAUAGAAACUGGAGCAAUUGAUGGAGAUUAUACAUGUCACAGGUAAGAGCCGAUCAACCCGUACAAUUCCUGUGAUUAAUCUCA
This 3132-nucleotide unclassified non-coding RNA is filed under the name Hevea brasiliensis (rubber tree). The record is from RNAcentral. Lineage: Eukaryota; Viridiplantae; Streptophyta; Magnoliopsida; Malpighiales; Euphorbiaceae.